AUGUAAUCCUAAAUGGCCCGAAAU
RNAcentral lists this non-coding RNA (24 nucleotides) under Arabidopsis thaliana (thale cress). The record is from RNAcentral. Lineage: Eukaryota; Viridiplantae; Streptophyta; Magnoliopsida; Brassicales; Brassicaceae.